UACAGAGGGUGCGAGCGUUGUCCGGAAUCACUGGGCGUAAAGGGCGCGUAGGCGGCCUGGUAAGGUUGCGGUGAAAGCCCGGGGCUCAACCCCGGGUCGGCCGUGACAACUGCGAGGCUGGAGCACUGUAGAGGCAGGUGGAAUUCCGGGUGUAGCGGUGGAAUGCGUAGAGAUCCGGAAGAACACCGGUGGCGAAGGCGGCCUGCUGGGCAGUGGCUGACGCUGAGGCGCGACAGCGUGGGGAGCAAACAGG
Molecule: ribosomal RNA, 253 nt
Filed under: uncultured bacterium
Lineage: Bacteria
Description: partial 16S ribosomal RNA
Rfam family: Bacterial small subunit ribosomal RNA
Source: RNAcentral